AAACUAACAAGGAUUCCCCUAGUAACGGCGAGUGAAGCGGGAAGAGCUCAAAUUUGAAAUCUGGCAGUCUUCGAUUGUCCGAGUUGUAAUCUAUAGAGGCGUUUUCCGUGCCGGACCGUGUCCAAGUCUCCUGGAAAGGAGUAUCAAAGAGGGUGAUAAUCCCGUACUUAACACGACCCCCGGUGCUCUGUGAUACGUCUUCUACGAGUCGAGUUGUUUGGGAAUGCAGCUCAAAAUGGGUGGUGAAUUCCAUCUAAAGCUAAAUAUUGGCGAGAGACCGAUAGCGAACAAGUACCGUGAGGGAAAGAUGAAAAGCACUUUGGAAAGAGAGUUAAACAGUACGUGAAAUUGUUGAAAGGGAAACGAUUGAAGUCAGUCGUGUUCCUUGGAUUCAGCCAGUUCUGCUGGUCUACUUCCUUGGAACGGGUCAACAUCAGUUUUGUCCGGUGGAUAAAGGUAGUAGGAAUGUGACUUCCCUCGGGAAGUGUUAUAGCCUAUUGCCACAUACACUGGGUGAGACUGAGGACUGCAGCUCGCCUUUAUGGCCG
This 548-nucleotide ribosomal RNA is filed under the name Trichosporon asteroides. RNAcentral's name for it is "partial large subunit ribosomal RNA". It matches the Rfam family "Eukaryotic large subunit ribosomal RNA", at positions 62 to 616 of the family's 3401-position model. Lineage: Eukaryota; Fungi; Basidiomycota; Tremellomycetes; Trichosporonales; Trichosporonaceae. The record is from RNAcentral.